This 468-nucleotide ribosomal RNA is filed under the name uncultured bacterium. RNAcentral describes it as "partial 16S ribosomal RNA". It matches the Rfam family "Bacterial small subunit ribosomal RNA", at positions 28 to 507 of the family's 1533-position model. The record is from RNAcentral.
GACGAACGCUGGCGGCGUGCUUAACACAUGCAAGUCGAACGGAAAGGCCCUGCUUUUGUGGGGUGCUCGAGUGGCGAACGGGUGAGUAACACGUGAGUAACCUGCCCUUGACUUUGGGAUAACUUCAGGAAACUGGGGCUAAUACCGGAUAGGAGCUCCUGCUGCAUGGUGGGGGUUGGAAAGUUUCGGCGGUUGGGGAUGGACUCGCGGCUUAUCAGCUUGUUGGUGGGGUAGUGGCUUACCAAGGCUUUGUCGGGUAGCCGGCCUGAGAGGGUAACCGGCCACAUUGGGACUGAGAUACGGCCCAGACUCCUACGGGAGGCAGCAGUGGGGAAUAUUGCACAAUGGGCGGAAGCCUGAUGCAGCAACGCCGCGUGCGGGAUGACGGCCUUCGGGUUGUAAACCGCUUUCGCCUGUGACGAAGCGUGAGUGACGGUAAUGGGUAAAGAAGCACCGGCUAACUACGUG